This 506-nucleotide ribosomal RNA is filed under the name Plateumaris sericea. RNAcentral's name for it is "partial 16S ribosomal RNA". The stretch from base 380 to 506 matches the Rfam family "Bacterial large subunit ribosomal RNA", at positions 2473 to 2600 of the family's 2925-position model. The record is from RNAcentral. Lineage: Eukaryota; Metazoa; Arthropoda; Insecta; Coleoptera; Chrysomelidae.
GGCCUAUUGAAAGAAGAUUUUAGGUCUAACCUGCCCCCUGAUGUAUUUAAAUGGCCGCGGUAUUUUGACUGUGCUAAGGUAGCAUAAUAAUUAGUUUUUUAAUUGAAAGCUAGAAUGAAUGGUAUUAUGAAAAAAUUACUGUCUCUUUUAAAAAAUUAAAAUUUUAUUUUUAAGUUAAAAAGCUUAAAUAUUGUUAAAAGACGAGAAGACCCUAUAGAAUUUUAUUUAAAUUAAUUUUUAAUAAGUUAGUAUAUAAAAUUUAAAGAUAAGUUUAUAUUUAGUUGGGGUGAUUAGAAAAAUUAAGUAUCUUUUUUUUAUUCAAACAUUAAUUUAUGAUUUUAUGAUUCACAUUAGUGAUUUAAGAAUAAAUUACCUUAGGGAUAACAGCGUAAUUUUUUUUUAGAGUUCUAAUCAAAAAAAAAGAUUGCGACCUCGAUGUUGGAUUAAAAUUUAUUUUUGGUGUAGUAGCUAAAGUAUUAAGUCUGUUCGACUUUUAAAAUUUUACA